RNAcentral lists this ribosomal RNA (253 nucleotides) under uncultured bacterium. RNAcentral describes it as "partial 16S ribosomal RNA". It matches the Rfam family "Bacterial small subunit ribosomal RNA", at positions 524 to 776 of the family's 1533-position model. The record is from RNAcentral.
GCCGAACCGUGCAAACGUUAUUCGGAAUCACUGGGCCUAAAGGGCGCGUAGGCGGCUUGACAAGUCAGGGGUGAAAUCCGGCAGCUUAACUGUCGCAGUGCCUUUGAUACUGUCGAGCUCGAGGGAGGUAGGGGUCUGUGGAACUUCCGGUGGAGCGGUGAAAUGCGUUGAUAUCGGAAGGAACGCCGGUGGCGAAAGCGACGGACUGGAUCUCUUCUGACGCUGAGGCGCGAAAGCCAGGGGAGCAAACGGG